GGAGAGAUGGCAGAGUUGGUCGAAUGCGGCAGACUCGAAAUCUGUUGUGCCUGUAAGGGCACCGGGGGUUCGAAUCCCUCUCUCUCCG
Molecule: transfer RNA, 88 nt
Filed under: SAR324 cluster bacterium
Lineage: Bacteria; Deltaproteobacteria
Also listed under: 1 other name
Description: tRNA-Ser
Rfam family: tRNA
About the family: Transfer RNA (tRNA) molecules are approximately 80 nucleotides in length.
Source: RNAcentral